RNAcentral lists this ribosomal RNA (460 nucleotides) under uncultured bacterium. RNAcentral's name for it is "partial 16S ribosomal RNA". It matches the Rfam family "Bacterial small subunit ribosomal RNA", at positions 338 to 795 of the family's 1533-position model. The record is from RNAcentral.
CCUACGGGAGGCAGCAGUGAGGAAUAUUGGUCAAUGGACGAGAGUCUGAACCAGCCAAGUAGCGUGAAGGAUGACUGCCCUAUGGGUUGUAAACUUCUUUUAUAUGGGAAUAAAAUGUUCCACGUGUGGGAUUUUGUAUGUACCAUAUGAAUAAGGAUCGGCUAACUCCGUGCCAGCAGCCGCGGUAAUACGGAGGAUACGAGCGUUAUCCGGAUUUAGUGGGUUUAAAGGGAGAGUAGGUGGAUUGUUAAGUCAGUUGUGAAAGUUUGCGGCGCAACCGUAAAAUUGCAGUUGAAACUGGCAGUCUUGAGUACAGUAGAGGUGGGCGGAAUUCGUGGUGUAGCGGUGAAAUGCUUAGAUAUCACGAAGAACUCCGAUUGCGAAGGCAGCUCACUGGACUGCAACUGACACUGAGGCUCGAAAGUGUGGGUAUCAAACAGGAUUAGAUACCCCAGUAGUC